GACGAACGCUGGCGGCGUGCUUAACACAUGCAAGUCGAACGGAAAGGCCCUGCUUUUGUGGGGUGCUCGAGUGGCGAACGGGUGAGUAACACGUGAGUAACCUGCCCUUGACUUUGGGAUAACUUCAGGAAACUGGGGCUAAUACCGGAUAGGAGCUCCUGCUGCAUGGUGGGGGUUGGAAAGUUUCGGCGGUUGGGGAUGGACUCGCGGCUUAUCGGCUUGUUGGUGGGGUAGUGGCUUACCCAGGCUUUGACGGGUAGCCGGCCUGAGAGGGUGACCGGCCACAUUGGGACUGAGGUACGGCCCAGACUCCUACGGGGGGCAGCAGUGGGGAAUAUUGCACAAUGGGCGGAAGCCUGAUGCAGCAGCGCCGCGUGCGGGAUGACGGCCUUCGGGUUGUAAACCGCUUUCGCCUGUGACGAAGCGGGAGUGACGGUAAUGGGUAAAGAAGCACCGGCUAACUACGUG
RNAcentral lists this ribosomal RNA (468 nucleotides) under uncultured bacterium. Its description in RNAcentral is "partial 16S ribosomal RNA". It matches the Rfam family "Bacterial small subunit ribosomal RNA", at positions 28 to 507 of the family's 1533-position model. The record is from RNAcentral.